Molecule: long non-coding RNA, 1227 nt
Organism: Saccostrea cuccullata (small rock oyster)
Lineage: Eukaryota; Metazoa; Mollusca; Bivalvia; Ostreida; Ostreidae
Exons: 4
Source: RefSeq, a predicted model, not a curated record
GCAGAAUACGGAAGUAGCUGUGUGGACAUUUUGUAUUAGCAGUGAGGAAAUUCGGAAACACAAAAAGCAAAUGCAAGGUCUGCAAUGAAAAUCGACCGAUACCCGGGGGUCGGGCUAGUGGUUUUCUGCAAGAGGGUCGCCCCGUUGGCCAGUAAAAAAAGAUAAUAUUAUUUAUACACGUGCAAUACAUGCAAAGCACACCUGAGUUCAGAUACUGAAAGUGAACAUCAGUGGAACUUUGAUGAUCUAGGCCGCUCUAUUUUUGCAGCAACACCAGCAGGCGUCGGACAUUCAUAAAGUUGAAAGAACAAACCUAUGACUUGAACACACAAUUUGUGAUCUGAAUAUAGUUCACAAAUUUAAGGAAAGCAACUAUCAAAGACAUCCAGAUUGAUGGUAUACAUGAAGUAUGAAUGAAAGACUUUUCAGAAGAACAAGCACAAUCCCGAUUCAUUCUUGCCAUUGUCUGCUCCAGACGGCGACAUUUAGGACCUGACUUACUUUUCAGAAAAAGAAGAUGAAUCGAUUUUUGAUAGUUGAUCUUAAAAAGAUAACAUUUUCAGGGGUCGUGGAUUGAAUGACAUUUUCUUGCAAUCUCCCAUGCAGAGUUGUCGUUCGUUCCUCUCUCAGACACCUCUGCAAUGGGCUCACGUCAAGAUAUUUGACAUAACGUAUAAAACUUGAUAUUUGAAGAAUUGUUUCAAUUCAAAUCAAUAGUUCUGGAUUGAUUUAGUAAAUAUUUAUCUCAAAAUUCAGACAUAAACAUAGAAAUUGAAUUGUAAUGAAUUAAAACAAACGCACUAUUUCUCGUGUUUAAAACUGUGUAUACGCGAGCCAAUGACAGAGGUGAAUGUAUGAGCCGAUGGUAGAGAGUGAUUUUCUUGAUGGGCAACUAGUUGCAAGUAUUUGGAUGUCUAUUCUCAAGUUACUGCAAACCUUAAAUUAACUUCUUGAUUAUUAGUUAAAUGUGAGACCGUUUCUUACUUGAAGUAAUCAUUUUUUGAAUUGAGCUAUGUAAUCUCUGAUUACUUAUGUUUAUGAGUACUGUUCAGCUUUAAGGCAAAAGGAUCUUUUAUGAACAUUGCAUUCGUCAUGGUGAAUUUCUAUACAUUAAGUAACAGUCAUAGUUUUCGUCUUUUUUAAUUAGCGAUCUCAUUUUAAAUGUGAGAAAUAAUUAUUAAACUGAAAUGUUUAUUUAUGUUGUUUGAUUUUUAUUUUUUUGAAAAU